AUGGCUUUAAGAGGAAGCAGAGAUGGGGGCGUCAUGGCUGCGCUGGGGAUGACACCCUCUCCCUCUAGCUGGGUGUCCCUCUAGCUUGGGCAGGGCCUUUCCCUCUCCAAGCUUUUGAGUGCUCAGCCUGCAAUGGCGGACUCCAGCCCCCCUCACACCACCUUGCAGGUGAGUGAGGAAACCCAGCACCAGCACCUGGGUGUGCAGCGUGGGAGAUGUUUUAGGGAUUCCACCCCUUCUUGGAGCUUUUCUAUUUAAAACAAUUUUUUUUAACUUUUUGUAGAGAUGGGGGUCUCACUGUGUUGCCCAGGCUGUUCUUGAACUCCUUGAAGUUCAAGUGAUCCUCCCACCAUAGCCUCUCAAAGUGUUAGGAUUACAGGCGGGAGCCACCGUGCCCAGCCCCUUCUUGGAUCAUGUAGUGCUUCCUGGGUCCUUUUCCUCUUUAUUCUCCCUCCCCCUGCACCCCAGAACUGAUGUGGGGCUGAUCUGACCUUACUGACAGGGUGGGAGCCCAGGUGCCCUUCCUACCCUCCCCAAGGGGCUCUACGACCCUCCAGGACAGUCUUUGCCCAGGUGCCCUGAGGGCUCCUGGAAGCAGCAGUGAGAUGCACUCUGGAGUAGAUGGCUCCCUCUCUCAGCCUCCAGCCUUCGAGUCCACUGACAUGCAGCCACAGCCAUUCCCGGCUCCACACUUAGCCCUUCAGCAAGGCCUCCUCACCACAUCCUGAGCCUGUUCAUCACCUCCUCCCUGAGGCCACUGCCCAGGUCCGCACCUCCUCAUCUCCCACCUGGACCAUCCAUGGCAGAAACCUCCCAUCUGGUCUCCUGGCCCCUCCUCGAUGAUCCCAACUCUGCCCACACCAGAGGUGAUCUCCUGAUCUCCUCUGGCGUGAAUCACACUGCUCUGCCCCCUAGCCCACCUGGCUUGCUGUCAGUGCAGGGUCUAGGCCCCUCAUCCCUCCUUUACCCCCACCUCCCAGCCCCUUCCCAGUGUCCCAGCCCCUCCCCAGCAUUCCAGCCCCACUGGCCUUCCUUUGCAUCUCCCGUGGUUGUGCCCCGCUCCUGCCCCAGGACCUUCACACAUGCUGUCCCUCAGCCCUGCAAGAACCAUCUGCUGGAGCCGAGCAGAGGCUGCCUCCUUUGAACAGGACCUGUACCCUCCACUCCCCUACCGCUGCACCACACCAAUCCAUCAUCACACUUAUGAUGUCAUCUUCUCAGAGGUGGGGAAGCUGAGGCCCAGAGAGGAGGCAGUUCCUGGAAAGCAAGCGGGCCAAGUUCCUCACAGAGAUCAGAAGAGCAACAAGAUCUCCAGGCCAGGGCAGAGGUCCCCGCCCUGGAUGCUGGUGACACUUCCCCUGGGCGGGAGGGGCUGGGAGCAUGCAGAUCUCAGCCCUGAACAGCCUGUCCUCUCGCCUCGAGGUUCUUGGUAGGCUGGGAACAGCCUGUCCUGCUGAGCUUCCUGUCACCUCUCUAGCUGCCCACACGCCGCACAGCUGCCACCGCCGGCCCUGGCCCGGGAGAGGGGGGUCUCUGGGGCUCUUAGCAGGCCAUGGUGGGGGUGUCUUGGGGCCAGCCUGAACUGAAAGACCAUCACAGCUUGCAAGCCACCUCCCUGCUCUGUUGCUGGCUCUCCUUGAAGACAAGUUUUUUUCAAUUAACCAAAGCGGUGCAUGGCAAUGUGCUAAGAGAAUCAAACACAGAGCAACAGAAUCAAUGCCCCACACUGGGAAAUAGCCGACUUUCUGUUCCCUCCCAUCCCUUCCUUCCCUCCCCGCCUCCUUCCCCUACUCCUUCCAUUCCACAAACAUUUAUUGAGCACCUGCUGUGUGCCAGCCACUGUUCUAGGCCCUGAAGACACAGAAGUGAACCAAAAAAAGAGUCCCUGUGCACAUCCUGGAGGGAAUUUCCCUGUGUGUGUGUGUGUGUGUGUGUGUGUGUGUGUCUAUACAGUGUAUGCAGACAGUGGAUAAUAAAAGCU
Molecule: long non-coding RNA, 1981 nt
Organism: Gorilla gorilla gorilla (western lowland gorilla)
Lineage: Eukaryota; Metazoa; Chordata; Mammalia; Primates; Hominidae
Exons: 3
Source: RefSeq, a predicted model, not a curated record